CCUACGGGAGGCAGCAGUGAGGAAUAUUGGUCAAUGGGCGCGAGCCUGAACCAGCCAAGUAGCGUGAAGGAUGACUGCCCUACGGGUUGUAAACUUCUUUUAUAAAGGAAUAAAGUGAGGCACGUGUGCCGUUUUGUAUGUAUUUUAUGAAUAAGGAUCGGCCAACUCCGUGCCAGCAGCCGCGGCAAUACGGAGGAUCCGAGCGUUAUCCGGAUUUAUUGGGUUUAAAGGGAGCGUAGAUGGGUUGUUAAGUCAGUUGUGAAGGUUUGCGGCUCAACCGCAAAAUUGCAAUUGAUACUGGCAGCCGUGAGUACAGUUGAGGUAGGCGGAAUUCGUGGUGUAGCGGUGAAAUGCUUAGAUAUCACGAAGAACUCCGAUUGCGAAGGCAGCCUACUAAACUGCCACUGACAUUGAUGCUCGAAAGUGUGGGUAUCAAACAGGAUUAGAUACCCUAGUAGUC
Molecule: ribosomal RNA, 460 nt
Filed under: uncultured bacterium
Lineage: Bacteria
Description: partial 16S ribosomal RNA
Rfam family: Bacterial small subunit ribosomal RNA
Source: RNAcentral